AGUGCUCCUGCUGACCUUCCGUGUCUGCAGCCCGGCUUUGGACUGUGGAGAUGCCCUCAGCCUCUACUCAGUGGCUCCAGCCUCAUAUUUGCGUGCUAUACCUUUAACCUCAAGUCCUCUUGCUGCUAACUUAAGCUGCGACUGUCCAGGACCUGCACACACACACACAUGCACGCAUGCACACACACACACACAGAAGCCCAGUUCCCUCUAGCUCCAGCACAGACUCUUAUCUCCAGCCCUGACUGCCGAAACCCUCCAGCCCCAGCUCCAGCCCCUCAGGAGGGGACUGCGUGGGAGGAAUGACUCCAGCAAGCCGGCAGCUGACCCGUCUCCUGCCUGCACGCCUCCCGCUGUGGUCCACUGCCGGUGGUCUUCAGCUCUCUCCUCGUCCCACCCCCAUGGUCUGCUGACAGCCCAGCUCAGUGCAUCCCUGCCAUCUCUGCUCUACCGCUGGUCCUCCCAACAACCAACUUACAGGGUUUCACUCCCGUCACCCAGACUGGAGUACAAUGGUGCGAUCUCAGCUCACUGCAACCUCUGCCUCCUGGGCUUAAGCGAUUCUCCUGCCUUGGCCUCCCAAGUAGCUGGGAUUACAGGUGCCUGCCACCACUCCUGGCUAAUUUUUGUAUUUUUUGUAAAGGCGGAGUUUCUCCAUGUUGCCCAGGCUAGUCUCAAACUCCUGAGCUCAAGCAAUCCACCCGCCUCGGCCUCCCAAAUAAGUGGAAUUAUAGGUGUGAGCCACCACGCCGGCCCUGAUGUAUCAAUAUUAAAACAUUUUCUUCAGCCUA
Molecule: long non-coding RNA, 791 nt
Filed under: Homo sapiens (human)
Lineage: Eukaryota; Metazoa; Chordata; Mammalia; Primates; Hominidae
Description: uncharacterized LOC105376020, transcript variant 4 (LOC105376020)
Source: RNAcentral